Non-coding RNA from Ixodes scapularis (black-legged tick), 73 nucleotides. NCBI's taxonomy places the organism in Eukaryota, Metazoa, Arthropoda, Arachnida, Ixodida, Ixodidae. The record is from Rfam.
CCCUGGUUAGCUCAGUUGGUAGAGCGCCCCACUUGUAAUGGAGAGGUCCCGGGUUCGAUACCCGGACCAGGCG